This 376-nucleotide ribosomal RNA is filed under the name Serratovola pallula. Its description in RNAcentral is "partial 12S ribosomal RNA". It matches the Rfam family "Bacterial small subunit ribosomal RNA", at positions 778 to 1407 of the family's 1533-position model. The record is from RNAcentral. Lineage: Eukaryota; Metazoa; Mollusca; Bivalvia; Pectinida; Pectinidae.
UUAGGUACCCAUUUAUGCCGAUGUAAACUUUGCUAUCUGCAGGGGGACUACGAGUGCUUAAAACUCAAAGAACUUGGCGGCUUGUUAACUACCUAGGGGAAUAUGUGCCUUUAUCCGAUGUUACGCGAAUAUCUUACUAGACUUAGAAUAGCAGUUGGUGUAUUGCCGUUGUCAGCUUGUUGUUGAGCAAAGAGAAACAGGCUAAAGAUCCAUGAAUUCAGGUCGAAAUGCCGCCUAUAGUCUAGGGAGCGGGUAUUACAAUUGAAACUUUCAAUACGGAUUGGGGAAAAUGAAGGUGAACUUAGGAGUAAAGAGAAAUUAAUAUGUUUUCUUGAACUGAAUCUAGCUUGUGUACAAACUGCCCGUCGCUCUCGGU